UACGAAGGGGGCUAGCGUUGCUCGGCAUUACUGGGCGUCAAGCGCACGUAGGCGGGUUGUUAAGUCGGGGGUGCAAUCCUGGAGCUCAACUCCAGAACUGCCUUCGAAACUGGCGAUCUUGAGUCCGGGAGAGGUGAGUGGAACUGCGAGUGUAGAGGUGAAAUGCGUAGAUAUUCGCAAGAACACCAGUGGCGAAGGCGGCUCACUGGCCCGUUACUGACGCUGAGGUGCGAAAGCGUGGGGAGCAAACAGG
RNAcentral lists this ribosomal RNA (253 nucleotides) under uncultured bacterium. RNAcentral's name for it is "partial 16S ribosomal RNA". It matches the Rfam family "Bacterial small subunit ribosomal RNA", at positions 524 to 776 of the family's 1533-position model. The record is from RNAcentral.